UUCCGGUUGAUCCUGCCGGAGGAGUUGCGAUUGGGAUUCGAUUUAGCCAUGCUAGUCGAGCGAGUUCAGACUCGCGGCGCAUAGCUCAGUAACACGUGGCCAAGCUCCCCUUCAGACGGCGAUACCCUCGGGAAACUGAGGCUAACAGCCGAUACACGACGCCAGCUGGAAUGCGGCGUCGGCGAAAAGCGAUGCUGAAGGAUGCGGCUGCGGCCGAUUAGGUAGACGGUGGGGUAACGGCCCACCGUGCCAGUAAUCGGUACGGGUGAUGAGAGUCAGAGCCCGGAGACGGAAUCUGAGACAAGAUUCCGGGCCCUACGGGGCGCAGCAGGCGCGAAACCUUUACACUGCACGGAAGUGCGAUAGGGGAAUCCCAAGUGCGAGGGCAUAUUAUCCCUCGCAUUUGUUGACCGUAAGGUGGUCAACGAAUAAGAGCUGGGCAAGACCGGUGCCAGCCGCCGCGGUGAUACCGGCAGCUCGAGUGAUGUCCCAUAUUAUUG
RNAcentral lists this ribosomal RNA (500 nucleotides) under uncultured Halonotius sp. RNAcentral describes it as "bacterial SSU rRNA". It matches the Rfam family "Archaeal small subunit ribosomal RNA", at positions 1 to 506 of the family's 1478-position model. The record is from RNAcentral. Lineage: Archaea; Methanobacteriati; Methanobacteriota; Halobacteria; Halobacteriales; Haloferacaceae.